UGCCACAUGCUAUACAGGAUUUUUUUUUUAGGGUUUUUGGGCUUCUAAAGUUUGGGCCUGAUCCAAGGGCUCAAGUGGCUGGAUUAUUACAUUCUCCCCUCCUUAAAUAAUUUCAUCUUUGAAAUUAACUUUGCUUGAUCAAUAACUUUAAAAGAACAUCGAUCAUGUCGUUCUCGAGCUUUUAAUAGUUUAUAUUUCGUAGUACUUGUUUCACAAAAUUAUGUGACAU
RNAcentral lists this long non-coding RNA (229 nucleotides) under Elaeis guineensis (African oil palm). Its description in RNAcentral is "long non-coding RNA (EGUI_LNC010186)". Lineage: Eukaryota; Viridiplantae; Streptophyta; Magnoliopsida; Arecales; Arecaceae. The record is from RNAcentral.